RNAcentral lists this long non-coding RNA (306 nucleotides) under Elaeis guineensis (African oil palm). RNAcentral describes it as "long non-coding RNA (EGUI_LNC080044)". Lineage: Eukaryota; Viridiplantae; Streptophyta; Magnoliopsida; Arecales; Arecaceae. The record is from RNAcentral.
GGGGAUAAAUAAUUUUUAUGUAUGAUCCAUAGAAUAUAUGAAAGAUUAGAUUUAAGUACUAAUUAAUUUUAGAUUAGAUCUGAAUUAAUUAAACUUAAAUAGAUCCAAAAUCUAAGUUAGAUUUGGUACAAAAUUUCUAAAGAGUUUAGGAUUGACAGUCUUUCGAAAUUGUUUCAAACCGACUUCGAAUCGGAUUUGAAUCGGAUCUAUUUUGGAUGAGAUAUGAGUAUUCCUACUUGCAUUGGGAAUACCCACUCAUGAAGCACAAUCAAAAAUUAAUUUGAUGCUUAUUUGGGACAUCCCACG